This 329-nucleotide unclassified non-coding RNA is filed under the name soil metagenome. RNAcentral describes it as "partial contains 5.8S ribosomal RNA, internal transcribed spacer 2, and large subunit ribosomal RNA". The stretch from base 1 to 120 matches the Rfam family "5.8S ribosomal RNA", at positions 35 to 154 of the family's 154-position model. The record is from RNAcentral.
GAUGAAGAACGCAGCGAAAUGCGAUAAGUAAUGUGAAUUGCAGAAUUCAGUGAAUCAUCGAAUCUUUGAACGCACAUUGCGCCCGCCAGUAUUCUGGCGGGCAUGCCUGUUCGAGCGUCAUUUCAACCAUCAAGCCUUCGCUUGUGUUGGGGCCCCGCGGCUGCCGCGGUCCCCUAAAUCCAGUGGCGGGCUCGUCGUCGUACCGAGCGCAGUAGACAUCCUCGCUCCGGGAACCCGACGGGUGCCGGCCGUGAAACCCCCCACAUCAAGGUUGACCUCGGAUCAGGUAGGAAUACCCGCUGAACUUAAGCAUAUCAAUAAGCGGAGGA